This 476-nucleotide ribosomal RNA is filed under the name uncultured eukaryote. RNAcentral describes it as "SSU rRNA". It matches the Rfam family "Eukaryotic small subunit ribosomal RNA", at positions 624 to 1098 of the family's 1831-position model. The record is from RNAcentral.
AAGCUCGUAGUUGGAUUUCUGGCGUCGCCGCCCGGUCGGCCUCGAAAGGGGCUUUCACUCGUUGGCGCGCGUCGCCAUCCUCGGUUGAAGGCCGCCUGGCAUUAAGUUGUCGGGCGGUCGACGCUCGUCGUUUACUGUGAACAAAUUAGAGUGUUCAAAGCAGGCUUAGGCCGUUGAAUACAUUAGCAUGGAAUAAUGAGAUAGGACUUUGGUGGUCUAUUUUGUUGGUUUGCACGCCGAAGUAAUGAUUAAUAGGGGCGGGUGGGGGUAUUCGUAUUCAAUUGUCAGAGGUGAAAUUCUUGGAUUUAUGGAAGACGAACUACUGCGAAAGUAUUUACCAAGGAUGUUUUCAUUAAUCAAGAACGAAAGCUAGGGGAUCGAAUAAGAUUACAUACCUUCGUAGUCUUAACCAUAAACCAUGCCGACUCGGGAUGGAUGGUCGCUUGUUCAGGCUCCGUCCGCACCGUAUGAUAAAU